RNAcentral lists this long non-coding RNA (1110 nucleotides) under Piliocolobus tephrosceles (Ugandan red Colobus). Its description in RNAcentral is "lncRNA (ENSPTEG00000014903.1)". The record is from RNAcentral. Lineage: Eukaryota; Metazoa; Chordata; Mammalia; Primates; Cercopithecidae.
CACCCCUCAGGGAAGCAGGCUGGCGGCAGCUUCUCUCAGCCCUCAUUUUUACCUCCAUAGAGCAAUCAUUGUAUACAAUGUAAAAUAACAUACAUUUUAUGGAAUGAUCUUUCUGCCAGGAAGCUCCUAAGGAUAGCAAGAGGGGCCGGGGCUUUCCUCUGCAGUGCAGUGCACAGCCUUGGACCCUGCGUGUAAGGCAGAUAGCAAAAGUUGAUUGAAUGGCUGAGAGAGAACACACAACGGCCUCACUGCAGGCCUCAUCAGGGUCUUAGGCUCUAGUCCUAGCUCCACCACUAAUUAUCUCUAUACCUUUAUUCUAGGUCUCUGUUACCUUAGCUGUAAAUUGAGAAGAUUGGCUUAGAUCGUCUCCAAGGCGUCUUGGCGAGCUAAUACCCUGUGAAGACCAGGUAAGAGCGGAAUGGUAACUGGAGCCCUUCGCUGCCGCCCAUGUCAUUCCGCAGGGGGCCACUAGGUGGCAGGUGGGAAGGAAGCGGGCAGGGUGAGAGCUGCUUUUGCUUUCAGAAAGCGAUGGGAGUUCCUGGAUUCUUACUCCUGCAGAUCUCUCAGUCAGGACAGUUUUUUUCUCCAGGUUCUGCAAUUGCAGAACGCUCAGAUGAAGCACGGGGGUCCUGGUCCCCCGGUAGGCCACAGCCCACAAAUGCAAAACCACCCAGCAGCAGAAGGCGAAAGAGGCCGCUUCGAAGAGAAAAGGCAAGGUUGUCUCUGGUGUUUGAUCCACCCCCUCCUCUUUCUGUGACCAGGCAGAAUCAACCACGAUGAGAUUUUUCUACAACUCUUCCUAAAAUGCCAGUACAGUUUUCUUAACUGAGCAAACGUCAAUACAGCCCUGCCCUACGCAGAGGACAGCUCUGGCCUUAGACCCUGGACAUACGCAGAGGACAGCUCUGGCCUUGGACCCUGGACGACCCCACGAAGGGCAUUAAGGAGACACCCUGUCUUCACUCCACCCGAUCCCUGCCGCUGUGGGGGCCUGGGCAGCAGGAGCCCACAUUUUACCUUCCCCAACCCCGCCCCUGCAGUGUAGGGCCAGCCCUGGGCUGUGGCUCACGAGGAACCAUGAGUGAUGAAUAAAAAGAUUCCUCCCCAUCA